Pelmatolapia mariae (spotted tilapia) is the source of this 161-nucleotide long non-coding RNA. RefSeq lists it as uncharacterized. The transcript is spliced from 3 exons. The record is from RefSeq and is a predicted model, not a curated record. Lineage: Eukaryota; Metazoa; Chordata; Actinopteri; Cichliformes; Cichlidae.
ACAUUGACAGCUGUUACAGAGGAGGAAGCAACAGAGACACUUUAUGAGAGUGAUGAUGGAAAUGCAGAGGAAGAGGGUCCAGCCACUUCUCCAACAAACCUUUCCUCACUCCCUGUAAAGCAGCUGUAUAAGAAAUAUUUGAUCAAGAAAAUAGAAAAAUG